AUUUGCCUUUAGGAGGGGGACAACAACUGGAAACGGUUGCUAAUACCCCAUAUGCUUUCGAGUGAAAUGGAUUUCCGCCUAGAGAGAAGCUUGCGGCUGAUUAGCUUGUUGGUGAGGUAAUGGCUCACCAAGGCGACGAUCAGUAUCUGGUUUGAGAGGACGAUCAGACACACUGGAACUGAGACACGGUCCAGACUCCUACGGGAGGCAGCAGUAGGGAAUUUUCCGCAAUGGGCGAAAGCCUGACGGAGCAAUACCGCGUGAGGGAUGACUGCCUAUGGGUUGUAAACCUCCUUUUUCAGGGAGGAAUAAAUGACGUGUACCUGAAGAAUAAGCAUCGGCUAACUCCGUGCCAGCAGCCGCGGUAAGACGGAGGAUGCAAGUGUUACCCGGAAUCACUGGGCGUAAAGCGUCUGUAGGUGGCUCGAUAAGUCAACUGUUAAAUCUUGAAGCUCAACUUCGAAAUCGCAGUCGAAACUAUCGGACUAGAGUAUAGUAGAGGUAAAGGGAAUUUCCAGUGGAGCGGUGAAAUGCGUAGAUAUUGGAAAGAACACCGAUGGCGAAGGCACUUUACUGGGCUAUUACUGACACUCAGAGACGAAAGCUAGGGUAGCAAAUGG
RNAcentral lists this ribosomal RNA (620 nucleotides) under uncultured bacterium. RNAcentral's name for it is "bacterial SSU rRNA". It matches the Rfam family "Bacterial small subunit ribosomal RNA", at positions 124 to 775 of the family's 1533-position model. The record is from RNAcentral.